CCUACGGGAGGCAGCAGUGGGGAAUAUUGGACAAUGGGGGAAACCCUGAUCCAGCGACGCCGCGUGAGUGAAGAAGUAUUUCGGUACGUAAAGCUCUAUCCACAGGAAAGAAACUGACGGUACCUGACUAAGAAGCCCCGGCUAACUACGUGCCAACAGCCGCGGUAAUACGUAGGGGGCAAGCGUUAUCCGGAUUUACUGGGUGUAAAGGGGGCGUAGACGGCAGCGCAAGUCUGGCGUGAAAUGCCGGGGCGCAACCCCGGAACUGCUCUGGAAACUGUGAAGCUGGAGUGCAGGAGAGGUAAGCAGAAUUCCUGGUGUAGCGGUGAAAUGCGUAGAUAUUAGGAGGAACACCGGUGGCGAAGGCGGCUUACUGGACCGUAACUGACGUUGAGGCUCGAAAGCGUGGGGAGCAAACAGGAUUAGAUACCCGAGUAGUC
RNAcentral lists this ribosomal RNA (440 nucleotides) under uncultured bacterium. Its description in RNAcentral is "partial 16S ribosomal RNA". It matches the Rfam family "Bacterial small subunit ribosomal RNA", at positions 338 to 795 of the family's 1533-position model. The record is from RNAcentral.